GACGAACGCUGGCGGCGUGCCUAAUACAUGCAAGUUGAGCGCUGAAGGUUGGUACUUGUACCGACUGGAUGAGCAGCGAACGGGUGAGUAACGCGUGGGGAAUCUGCCUUUGAGCGGGGGACAACAUUUGGAAACGAAUGCUAAUACCGCAUAAAAACUUUAAACACAAGUUUUAAGUUUGAAAGAUGCAAUUGCAUCACUCAAAGAUGAUCCCGCGUUGUAUUAGCUAGUUGGUGAGGUAAAGGCUCACCAAGGCGAUGAUACAUAGCCGACCUGAGAGGGUGAUCGGCCACAUUGGGACUGGGAAACGGCCCAAACUCCUACGGGGGGCAGCAGUAGGGAAUCUUCGGCAAUGGACGAAAGUCUGGCCGAGCAACGCCGCGUGAGUGAAGAAGGUUUUCGGAUCGUAAAACUCUGUUGGUAGGGAAGAACGUUGGUGAGAGUGGAAAGCUCAUCAAGUGACGGUAACUACCCAGAAAGGGACGGCUAACUACGUG
Molecule: ribosomal RNA, 497 nt
Filed under: uncultured bacterium
Lineage: Bacteria
Description: partial 16S ribosomal RNA
Rfam family: Bacterial small subunit ribosomal RNA
Source: RNAcentral